This 1346-nucleotide ribosomal RNA is filed under the name uncultured bacterium. RNAcentral's name for it is "partial 16S ribosomal RNA". It matches the Rfam family "Bacterial small subunit ribosomal RNA", at positions 28 to 1381 of the family's 1533-position model. The record is from RNAcentral.
GACGAACGCUGGCGGCGUGUUUAACACAUGCAAGUCGAACGGAAAGGCCCUGCUUUUGUGGGGUGCUCGAGUGGCGAACGGGUGAGUAACACGUGAGUAACCUGCCCUUGACUUUGGGAUAACUUCAGGAAACUGGGGCUAAUACCGGAUAGGAGCUCCUGCUGCAUGGUGGGGGUUGGAAAGUUUCGGCGGUUGGGGAUGGACUCGCGGCUUAUCAGCUUGUUGGUGGGGUAGUGGCUUACCAAGGCUUUGACGGGUAGCCGGCCUGAGAGGGUGACCGGCCACAUUGGGACUGAGAUACGGCCCAGACUCCUACGGGAGGCAGCAGUGGGGAAUAUUGCACAAUGGGCGGAAGCCUGAUGCAGCAACGCCGCGUGCGGGAUGACGGCCUUCGGGUUGUAAACCGCUUUCGCCUGUGACGAAGCGUGAGUGACGGUAAUGGGUAAAGAAGCACCGGCUAACUACGUGCCAGCAGCCGCGGUGAUACGUAGGGUGCGAGCGUUGUCCGGAUUUAUUGGGCGUAAAGGGCUCGUAGGUGGUUGAUCGCGUCGGAAGUGUAAUCUUGGGGCUUAACCCUGAGCGUGCUUUCGAUACGGGUUGACUUGAGGAAGGUAGGGGAGAAUGGAAUUCCUGGUGGAGCGGUGGAAUGCGCAGAUAUCAGGAGGAACACCAGUGGCGAAGGCGGUUCUCUGGGCCUUUCCUGACGCUGAGGAGCGAAAGCGUGGGGAGCGAACAGGCUUAGAUACCCUGGUAGUCCACGCUGUAAACGGUGGGUACUAGGUGUGGGGUCCAUUCCACGGGUUCCGUGCCGUAGCUAACGCUUUAAGUACCCCGCCUGGGGAGUACGGCCGCAAGGCUAAAACUCAAAGGAAUUGACGGGGCCCCGCACAAGCGGCGGAGCAUGCGGAUUAAUUCGAUGCAACGCGUAGAACCUUACCUGGGUUUGACAUGGAUCGGGAGUGCUCAGAGAUGGGUGUGCCUCUUUUGGGGUCGGUUCACAGGUGGUGCAUGGCUGUCGUCAGCUCGUGUCGUGAGAUGUUGGGUUAAGUCCCGCAACGAGCGCAACCCUUGUUCACUGUUGCCAGCACGUUAUGGUGGGGACUCAGUGGAGACCGCCGGGGUCAACUCGGAGGAAGGUGGGGAUGACGUCAAGUCAUCAUGCCCCUUAUGUCCAGGGCUUCACGCAUGCUACAAUGGCUGGUACAGAGAGUGGCGAGCCUGUGAGGGUGAGCGAAUCUCGGAAAGCCGGUCUCAGUUCGGAUUGGGGUCUGCAACUCGACCUCAUGAAGUCGGAGUCGCUAGUAAUCGCAGAUCAGCAACGCUGCGGUGAAUACGUUCCCGGGGCU